This is a long non-coding RNA of Syngnathus typhle (broad-nosed pipefish), 2940 nucleotides long. RefSeq lists it as uncharacterized. The record is from RefSeq and is a predicted model, not a curated record. The transcript is spliced from 5 exons. NCBI's taxonomy places the organism in Eukaryota, Metazoa, Chordata, Actinopteri, Syngnathiformes, Syngnathidae.
GAGAUGAGCGUGCAGGCCCAGCGCGUGCGUCUGCCGGAAGUGAGACCAGUAGAUGUGGGCCAGAGUCCUGAACAGCAACAAAAACACCUUCUGCACCAGGAAGAUGAAGCCGGUAGGGAAAACUGAGCCUGAAAUUCAAAGAGUUGCUGGAGUCUUGAGUUGUGGGGAAAAAGAAAACCGGCAUAAGGAGGAGAAACCAUGUCAGGUCCACAGACCAUGGGAAUCAAACCCAGAAUCUCAGUAUUGCGAGGCAGAUAUGCUAACCACGCGCUGGAUGCUUCAGGCAUACCUCUCCUCGGACCUGAGAGUAACCUCUGCACCUGGGACAGAGCUCACUCUCACACGCACGUUUUAAAGUAGAGCAGUGACUGACACGCAUGAUGCGCUAUUUCGUAAUAUAAAUAAAUAUUUGCCCGUCACCGUAUCCUUGAUAUGUACUUUAACGUCCAUGCACAGGACGCACUGAUAGAACAACUUUUUUUUUCCCCCAUGACCUUAAGAUGGAUAUUAAGGAUAUGGAUUAAAUGCGCAUACAGUUUAGUUGAAAUUCUGACAUGAAAAAAAAAUAAAAAUAGAUUUGUGGUGUUUUUGUACUUUUCUUUUUCCAACAAGUCAAAUGUUGCGAAACUCAGACCAGGCUCUGAUUCAUGCGCAAGAUAAACCCACCGACUUUUUUCGUCUCGGGCCGAUCAUUAAUGUGUAACCUCAUUUGGCUGUUGGACGUGCAAGCGGGGACGAGCCGCCGGACUGACAAACAUGGCCGCUAAGAGAAAUCAUAGAACAAAGAGCGAGGUUGCGCGUUGAAGGGCCCGUCGUCCAUAUUGGCGAUGAUGCCGGUUAGGCCGGUCCGUUGGCGGAGUUCUGCUUCUCUCUGUUCAACCAGCAAAGAAAAAGCACAGAUUUGCAAAUAGUUUCAUCUUUCUCUCCCGUGAAAAUAAACAUUAUGUGCAUGCGUGACAUUCCCGCAUAGAGUGACCACGCCUUCGUUAAGUCUGUCGAAUCUACACGUCGCAGAUGCUCAAAUGCCGCCGAGCUAUUUGAUGAAGAACCACCGCACCUAAUACUUGCUUCCGAGUAAACAAAAUACCGCCCAGCUGUUACGAGAAAAUGCCUGGUUCUCUCUGUAGUUAAGUAAACAAAGGCCCCUCGAGCUCGUUGGAGGAAGUAGCUCCGCUACUGUGUGCUCAGUAAAUAGACACUACUCACUGUGUGACAGCAGCCGGCUGCUGGCUAGGACUUGGGCAGUCUCCGUUUUUCCUUCCAGAUUCCGCAUCCCCCUCAUGUCCUUUCCCUUCUGGUGUCUUCUCUGCGUGACUUCAAAACAACCCCCGCCCCCCCCCCCCAAAAAAAGAGAAUGAGAAUGCGCUCUCGGUAGAACCAAAAUAAACCGCCGUUGUACAUCCUGGUUAAAAGCUCACCUCCGUUACCUGCUGUUGACGGUGUCAAGCCCCGCCCCCCCCCACCACCACCACCCCAAACAAGGAUCAAAUUGUCCAUGCUUGUAUCGGGGGUAGUAUUUGUUAGUAAAUCGCGUGCUAAUGCAUUGGGUUGGAUAGAAAAUUGUUUUUUCUUCAGAGCAUGCCUUGUGGUCAAAUGGGCGGGGACCUUCUUUACUCACUCGCUUGCUGCGCAGGGAAGACACGAGCUGUUUAAUAGGAAAUGAUGCACUGGAUAUGUCAUUAUUGCAAACAUCUGCGGCCCAGGCCACAGACACGCCUUUUGCUAUUUAUGGAUGUGUUAAUGCCGGGACUGGUGUUGGGAAUAGGGACGAGCUAAGCUCAUGGUAAGGUUUUGCGGUAGGUUAGUGCAGUCCACGGAUGAAUGAGUCUUGAUUGUCGCACGCGGCGUCCUAGUUCAAGGCAACAAGCAGAACACGCCUCUUCCCGUCUUUUGUUCCGAGCGCUAUUUGCUUUCUCAUACAAACUUCAGAAAAUCAUCACACGCUUCACAUACCGUCGAGUGGCUGGUCGGAAUACUCUGAGGGCGAGGGAGGGAGGGGGGGGGGACAGGUGGGAAGAGACAGGUGGGGUGAUAUCAGAACAGCAACAAAGAGAGGGAAAGCUUGGAGGGAUAGAUGAGGGACGGAUGGACGGACGCUCUUAGUGAGCAGACAAACGGUCGAUUGUAGAGCUAGCACUGGUUAUGUGCAAGGAAAGAAUGUUUUAAGAGGCCAUGUGGAAUGUGAAAGAAAAGUUUAAGAUCGUACUAGAAAUAAAUAUAGAAAUAGUGAUAAAUCAAAUCAAAAAAAUAAAUAUUCUUACGCCACCCAGAAUGAUGACUUAGCGGGAAGUGUUGGGGGGAAAAAAAAAACGCCUGUUCCAGUUGGUAGCAUUCAAGUCCCGUACCUGCUGAACACGGCACGCUCGUUCUUGGCGUCCACAGUCAGCCGGAUGGUUUCCUUGCCGUCGCCCCUGUUGAGGGUCUCGGUGGUGGCCGCGCGGGCGGACCCCAUUUUGUUCUCGUCUUCGUCGGUGUCGGAGCUGCUGGAGGAGGAGCUGUCCGACGCCACCAGGGGAGCUUUCCUCGUCCCGCAUACGCUCCACACGCAGGCUGGAGGCCAGGAGAAUCCUCUGAACGAGGCGGCAAUGCUGAAACAACUUUGCAAAGAGCAAAUCCGGAGAUCAGUCAAGAGAACGACAUCAAGAUUCCCUCAGAUACCUACAUGCGUCACCAAUAAUUGAUGUGCAGAAUCGUCGUGGGUCCCGAGGACGUCCGCCGAAGCCUGGUCCUGCUGAGGAGCCUUGACGUCUUGGGAGAGGAGUCCAGGCUGAAGUCUCAUUUCGUGGGCACAGGGCCGCAAGAUGGCCGCCACGCAUAGCUCCACUUGCAGGCGUGGCUUGGUCUCACCAAAAGCAGGUCCAUUGUAUUGAGGCGGCAGAGUUCCUGCGCGAUGACCGCGUGGCUGGCCGAGCUGGUGUACAGCAGGGAGGCCACGAGUCG